CUGGGGAAACUACAAGUCUAGGGACCGGGAAGGGCCAAAGAUACUCUAGGGGUAGGGGUGAAAUCCAAUAAUCCUUAGGGGAUCGCCAGUGGCGAAGGCGUUUGGCUAGAACGGGUCCGACGGUGAGGGACGAAAGCUAGGGGAGCGAACGGGAUUAGAUACCCCGGUAGUCCUAGCCGUAAAUGAUGUGGACUAGGUGUUGCAUUCCCCUUGUGGGAAUGCAGUGCCGAAGGGAAGCCGUUAAGUUCACCACCUGGGAAGUACGGUCGCAAGGCCGAAACUUAAAUGGAAUUGACGGGGGAGCACAACAAGGGGUGGAGUCUGCGGUUUAAUUGGAUUCAACGCCGG
RNAcentral lists this ribosomal RNA (348 nucleotides) under uncultured Candidatus Poseidoniales archaeon. Its description in RNAcentral is "bacterial SSU rRNA". It matches the Rfam family "Archaeal small subunit ribosomal RNA", at positions 575 to 921 of the family's 1478-position model. The record is from RNAcentral. Lineage: Archaea; Methanobacteriati; Thermoplasmatota; Candidatus Poseidoniia; Candidatus Poseidoniales.